GAUGAACGCUGGCGGCGUGCCUAAUACAUGCAAGUCGAGCGAACGGACGAGAAGCUUGCUUCUCUGAUGUUAGCGGCGGACGGGUGAGUAACACGUGGAUAACCUACCUAUAAGACUGGGAUAACUUCGGGAAACCGGAGCUAAUACCGGAUGAUAUUUUGAACCGCAUGGUUCAAAAGUGAAAGACGGUCUUGCUGUCACUUAUAGAUGGAUCCGCGCUGCAUUAGCUAGUUGGUAAGGUAACGGCUUACCAAGGCAACGAUGCAUAGCCGACCUGAGAGGGUGAUCGGCCACACUGGAACUGAGACACGGUCCAGACUCCUACGGGAGGCAGCAGUAGGGAAUCUUCCGCAAUGGGCGAAAGCCUGACGGAGCAACGCCGCGUGAGUGAUGAAGGUCUUCGGAUCGUAAAACUCUGUUAUUAGGGAAGAACAUAUGUGUAAGUAACUGUGCACAUCUUGACGGUACCUAAUCAGAAAGCCACGGCUAACUACGUGCCAGCAGCCGCGGUAAUACGUAGGUGGCAAGCGUUAUCCGGAAUUAUUGGGCGUAAAGCGCGCGUANGCGGUUUUUUAAGUCUGAUGUGAAAGCCCACGGGCUCACCGUGGAGGGUCAUUGGAAACUGGAAAACUUGAGUGCAGAAGAGGAAAGUGGAAUUCCAUGUGUAGCGGUGAAAUGCGCAGAGAUAUGGAGGAACACCAGUGGCGAAGGCGACUUUCUGGUCUGUAACUGACGCUGAUGUGCGAAAGCGUGGGGAUCAAACAGGAUUAGAUACCCUGGUAGUCCACGCCGUAAACGAUGAGUGCUAAGUGUUAGGGGGUUUCCGCCCCUUAGUGCUGCAGCUAACGCAUUAAGCACUCCGCCUGGGGAGUACGACCGCAAGGUUGAAACUCAAAGGAAUUGACGGGGACCCGCACAAGCGGUGGAGCAUGUGGUUUAAUUCGAAAGCACGCGAAGAACCUUACCAAAUCUUGACAUCCUUUGACAACUCUAGAGAUAGAGCCUUCCCCUUCGGGGGACAAAGUGACAGGUGGUGCAUGGUUGUCGUCAGCUCGUGUCGUGAGAUGUUGGGUUAAGUCCCGCAACGAGCGCAACCCUUAAGCUUAGUUGCCAUCAUUAAGUUGGGCACUCUAAGUUGACUGCCGGUGACAAACCGGAGGAAGGUGGGGAUGACGUCAAAUCAUCAUGCCCCUUAUGAUUUGGGCUACACACGUGCUACAAUGGACAAUACAAAGGGCAGCGAAACCGCGAGGUCAAGCAAAUCCCAUAAAGUUGUUCUCAGUUCGGAUUGUAGUCUGCAACUCGACUACAUGAAGCUGGAAUCGCUAGUAAUCGUAGAUCAGCAUGCUACGGCGAAUGCGUCCCCGGGUCU
RNAcentral lists this ribosomal RNA (1372 nucleotides) under uncultured bacterium. RNAcentral's name for it is "bacterial SSU rRNA". It matches the Rfam family "Bacterial small subunit ribosomal RNA", at positions 28 to 1381 of the family's 1533-position model. The record is from RNAcentral.